RNAcentral lists this transfer-messenger RNA (365 nucleotides) under Terriglobia bacterium. It matches the Rfam family "transfer-messenger RNA". From Rfam's summary of the family: Bacterial tmRNA, also known as 10Sa RNA or SsrA, is named for its dual tRNA and mRNA-like properties. RNAcentral also lists the same sequence under 1 other name. Lineage: Bacteria; Pseudomonadati; Acidobacteriota; Terriglobia. The record is from RNAcentral.
GGGGGCGACACGGCUUCGACGGGGGUAAAGAAUCGCGGGAUGCAUGCCGAGCUGUCCACUGCCUCGUAAAUCCGGUGGAACACAUAGUAACUGCGAACACGCAGCUUGCUCUCGCGGCUUAACUAAACCUUAAGUCCGCGACGUCCACCUCGUCCUUGCCGGCAGGGUGGGAUCUGGAUGUCAUAAAAGCCGGCUGGUCGCCGCGGGCGGUUCCGACGAGCGGCGACAAGACUUCAUCGGAGCUAGCGGCCCGCGGUUUCCGUCGUUCUUUGACGCGGGUUGCGAAAAAUCAAGAGCGGCUACGCAUGUAGAGUUCCGCGACGGCGUACUCUCGGACGCGGGUUCGACUCCCGCCGCCUCCACCA